AGGGUUUGAUCAUGGCUCAGGAUGAACGCUAGCGGCAGGCCUAACACAUGCAAGUCGAGGGGUAACAGGGGAGCUUGCUCUCGCUGACGACCGGCGCACGGGUGCGUAACGCGUAUACAAUCUACCUUUUGCUGAGGGAUAGCCCAGAGAAAUUUGGAUUAACACCUCAUAGUAUGUAUUAAUGGCAUCAUUAAUAUAUUAAAGGUUACGGCAAAAGAUGAGUAUGCGUUCUAUUAGCUAGAUGGUGUGGUAACGGCACACCAUGGCAACGAUAGAUAGGGGCCCUGAGAGGGGGAUCCCCCACACUGGUACUGAGACACGGACCAGACUCCUACGGGAGGCAGCAGUGAGGAAUAUUGGGCAAUGGAGGCAACUCUGACCCAGCCAUGCCGCGUGCAGGAAGACUGCCCUAUGGGUUGUAAACUGCUUUUAUACAGGAAGAAACACUCCCUCGUGAGGGAGCUUGACGGUACUGUAAGAAUAAGGAUCGGCUAACUCCGUGCCAGCAGCCGCGGUAAUACGGAGGAUCCAAGCGUUAUCCGGAAUCAUUGGGUUUAAAGGGUCCGUAGGUGGAUAAUUAAGUCAGAGGUGAAAUCCUGCAGCUCAACUGUAGAAUUGCCUUUGAUACUGGUUAUCUUGAGUUAUUAUGAAGUAGUUAGAAUAUGUAGUGUAGCGGUGAAAUGCAUAGAUAUUACAUAGAAUACCAAUUGCGAAGGCAGAUUACUAAUAAUAUACUGACACUGAUGGACGAAAGCGUGGGGAGCGAACAGGAUUAGAUACCCUGGUAGUCCACGCCGUAAACGAUGGUCACUAGCUGUUUGGACUUCGGUCUGAGUGGCUAAGCGAAAGUGAUAAGUGACCCACCUGGGGAGUACGUU
This 878-nucleotide ribosomal RNA is filed under the name uncultured Bacteroidota bacterium. RNAcentral describes it as "bacterial SSU rRNA". It matches the Rfam family "Bacterial small subunit ribosomal RNA", at positions 8 to 886 of the family's 1533-position model. Lineage: Bacteria; Pseudomonadati; Bacteroidota. The record is from RNAcentral.